Molecule: ribosomal RNA, 506 nt
Filed under: uncultured bacterium
Lineage: Bacteria
Description: partial 16S ribosomal RNA
Rfam family: Bacterial small subunit ribosomal RNA
Source: RNAcentral
AGUGAACGCUGGCGGUAGGCCUAACACAUGCAAGUCGAACGGCAGCACAGGAGAGCUUGCUCUCUGGGUGGCGAGUGGCGGACGGGUGAGGAAUACAUCGGAAUCUACUUUUUCGUGGGGGAUAACGUAGGGUAACUUACGCUAAUACCGCAUACGACCUACGGGUGAAAGCAGGGGAUCUUCGGACCUUGCGCGAUUGACUGAGCCGAUGUCGGAUUAGCUAGUUGGCGGGGUAAAGGCCCACCAAGGCGACGAUCCGUAGCUGGUCUGAGAGGAUGAUCAGCCACACUGGAACUGAGACACGGUCCAGACUCCUACGGGAGGCAGCAGUGGGGAAUAUUGGACAAUGGGCGCAAGCCUGAUCCAGCCAUACCGCGUGGGUGAAGAAGGCCUUCGGGUUGUAAAGCCCUUUUGUUGGGAAAGAAAUCCAGCUGGUUAAUACCCGGUUGGGAUGACGGUACCCAAAGAAUAAGCACCGGCUAACUUCGUGCCAGCAGCCGCCGUAA